UGUGAACGCUGGCGGUAGGCCUAACACAUGCAAGUCGAACGGCAGCACAGAGGAGCUUGCGCCUUGGGUGGCGAGUGGCGGACGGGGGAGGAAUACAUCGGAAUCUACUCUGUCGUGGGGGAUAACGUAGGGAAACUUACGCUAAUACCGCAUACGACCUACGGGUGAAAGCAGGGGAGCUUGGGGCCUUGCGCGAAUGAAUGAGCGUCUGUCGGAUUAGCUAGUUGGCGGGGUAAAGGCCGACCAAGGCGACGAUCCGUAGUUGGUCUGAGAGGAUGAUCAGCCACACUGGAACUGAGACACGGGCCAGCCGCCUACGGGAGGCAGCAGUGGGGAAUAUUGGACAAUGGGCGCAAGCCUGAUCCAGCCAUACCUCGUGGGUGAAGAAGGCCUUCCGGUUGUAAAGCCCUUUUGUUGGGAAAGAAAUCCAGCUGGCUAAUACCCGGUUGGGAUGACGGUACCCAAAGAAUAAGCACCGGCUAACUUCGUGCCAGCCGCCGCAGUAA
Molecule: ribosomal RNA, 506 nt
Filed under: uncultured bacterium
Lineage: Bacteria
Description: partial 16S ribosomal RNA
Rfam family: Bacterial small subunit ribosomal RNA
Source: RNAcentral